UUCGCCCUUAGAGUUUGAUCCUGGCUCAGGACGAACGCUGGCGGCGUGCCUAACACAUGCAAGUCGAGCGAGGCUGUUAGAGUGGAAUUUUUCGGAAUGAAACUCUAACUGCCCUAGCGGCGGACGGGUGAGUAACGCGUGAGAAACCUGCCUUUCACAAAGGGAUAGCCUCGGGAAACUGGGAUUAAUACCUUAUGAUACUCUUUUCCAGCAUUGGAGAAAAGUUAAAGCGUAAAGCGGUGAAAGAUGGUCUCGCGUCCCAUUAGUUAGUUGGUGAGGUAACGGCUCACCAAGACUGCGAUGGGUAGCCGGCCUGAGAGGGUGAACGGCCACACUGGAACUGAGACACGGUCCAGACUCCUACGGGAGGCAGCAGUGGGGAAUAUUGCACAAUGGAGGAAACUCUGAUGCAGCGACGCCGCGUGAACGAUGAAGGCUUUCGGGUCGUAAAGUUCUGUCCUAGGGGACGAUAAUGACGGUGCCCUAGGAGGAAGCCCCGGCUAACUACGUGCCAGCAGCCGCGGUAAUACGUAGGGGGCGAGCGUUGUCCGGAUUUAUUGGGCGUAAAGGGUUCGCAGGCGGCCUUUUAAGUCAGAUGUGAAAGAUCACGGCUCAACCGUGGUAAGCAUUUGAAACUGGAAGGCUUGAGUUAAGGAGAGGAAAGUGGAAUUCCUAGUGUAGCGGUGAAAUGCGUAGAUAUUAGGAGGAAUACCAGUGGCGAAGGCGACUUUCUGGACUUAUACUGACGCUGAGGAACGAAAGCGUGGGGAGCAAACAGGAUUAGAUACCCUGGUAGUCCACGCCGUAAACGAUGAGUGCUAGGUGUCGGGUGUCAAAGCUCGGUGCCGCAGCUAACGCAUUAAGCACUCCGCCUGGGGAGUACGUACGCAAGUAUGAAACUCAAAGGAAUUGACGGGGACCCGCACAAGCAGCGGAGCAUGUGGUUUAAUUCGAAGCAACGCGAAGAACCUUACCUAGACUUGACAUCUCCUGCAUUACUCUUAAUCGAGGAAGUCCCUUCGGGGACAGGAUGACAGGUGGUGCAUGGUUGUCGUCAGCUCGUGUCGUGAGAUGUUGGGUUAAGUCCCGCAACGAGCGCAACCCUUAUUGUUAGUUGCCAUCAUUAAGUUGGGCACUCUAGCGAGACUGCCCGGGUUAACCGGGAGGAAGGUGGGGAUGACGUCAAAUCAUCAUGCCCCUUAUGUCUAGGGCUACACACGUGCUACAAUGGUCGGUACAAUAAGACGCAAGCCCGCGAGGGGGAGCAAAACUGGAAAACCGAUCUCAGUUCGGAUUGUAGGCUGAAACUCGCCUACAUGAAGCUGGAGUUGCUAGUAAUCGCGAAUCAGCAUGUCGCGGUGAAUACGUUCCCGGGCCUUGUACACACCGCCCGUCA
RNAcentral lists this ribosomal RNA (1396 nucleotides) under uncultured bacterium. RNAcentral describes it as "16S ribosomal RNA". It matches the Rfam family "Bacterial small subunit ribosomal RNA". The record is from RNAcentral.